Molecule: non-coding RNA, 94 nt
Organism: Characodon lateralis
Lineage: Eukaryota; Metazoa; Chordata; Actinopteri; Cyprinodontiformes; Goodeidae
Source: the annotation of a GenBank genome assembly
GUGCUGGUGGUGUAGGGGUUAAGCACACGACUAUGUGCGGAGGCUAUAGUCCUCGAUGCGGCUGUCCCGGGUUUGAGUCCCGGACCCGGCGACC